GACGAACGCUGGCGGCGUGCUUAACACAUGCCAGUCGAACGGUGAAGCGUCUUCCUUUUUGGUGGGUGUGGAUGAGUGGCGAACGGGUGAGUAACACGUGAGUAACCUGCCCCCUUCUUCUGGAUAACCGCAUGAAAGUGUGGCUAAUACGGGAUAUUCUGGGUCUGUCGCAUGAUGGGUCUGGGAAAGAUAUUGUUUCGGUGGGGGAUGGGCUCGCGGCCUAUCAGCUUGUUGGUGGGGUGAUGGCCUACCAAGGCGGUGACGGGUAGCCGGCCUGAGAGGGUGGACGGUCACACUGGGACUGAGACACGGCCCAGACUCCUACGGGAGGCAGCAGUGGGGAAUAUUGCACAAUGGGCGCAAGCCUGAUGCAGCGACGCCGCGUGAGGGAUGGAGGCCUUCGGGUUGUGAACCUCUUUCGCCAGUGAAGCAGGCCUGCCUCGUUUGUGGGUGGGUUGACGGUAGCUGGAUAAGAAGCGCCGGCUAACUACGUG
This 494-nucleotide ribosomal RNA is filed under the name uncultured bacterium. RNAcentral's name for it is "partial 16S ribosomal RNA". It matches the Rfam family "Bacterial small subunit ribosomal RNA", at positions 28 to 507 of the family's 1533-position model. The record is from RNAcentral.